RNAcentral lists this long non-coding RNA (1296 nucleotides) under Oncorhynchus mykiss (rainbow trout). Its description in RNAcentral is "lncRNA (ENSOMYG00000059282.1)". The record is from RNAcentral. Lineage: Eukaryota; Metazoa; Chordata; Actinopteri; Salmoniformes; Salmonidae.
AUGUCUCUAUCCAUUCAUACUGUCUUUCUCUCUCUCUCUUGCUCUCACUCUCUCGACAUCAUCCUCUAUCUCUUCAUCAUCUUCAUUCAUUCUCUCUCUCUGUCUCUCCUGAUCCUUCUCCUCCCUCAUCUUCCUUCUCGUCGUUCUUACACUCCUCCCCUUCUUUUUCACCUCUUCAUCUUCCUCUCUUUUCCUAUACUUCUCCCUCCUCUCCCCCCUCUCUCUCUCUCCUCUCCCAAACAUAGAAAAAGGGGACAUAAAAUGUAUAUUUCUCUCUCUCUCUCCUGCUACUAUAGACUGCUGCUCAGUGGUGUGGAAGGUAAAGUGCUCCUUCUCUCUGUUCCAUCACCCAGCUUUACUCUAACUCUCUCUGUUCCAUCACCCAGCUCUACUCUACCUCUCUCUGUUCCAUCACCCAGCUCUACUCUACCUCUCUCUGUUCCAUCACCCAGCUCUACUCUACCUCUCUCUGUUCCAUCACCCAGCUUUACUCUAACUCUCUCUGUUCCAUCACCCAGCUCUACUCUACCUCUCUCUGUUCCAUCACCCAGCUCUACUCUACCUCUCUCUGUUCCAUCACCCAGCUCUACUCUACCUCUCUCUGUUCCAUCACCCAGCUUUACUCUACCUCUCUCUGUUCCAUCACCCAGCUCUACUCUACCUCUCUCUGUUCCAUCACCCAGCUCUACUCUACCUCUCUCUGUUCCAUCACCCAGCUUUACUCUAACUCUCUCUGUUCCAUCACCCAGCUCUACUCUACCUCUCUCUGUUCCAUCACCCAGCUCUACCUCUCUCUGUUCCAUCACCCAGCUCUACUCUACCUCUCUCUGUUCCAUCACCCAGCUCUACUCUACCUCUCUCUGUUCCAUCACCCAGCUCUACUCUACCUCUCUCUGUUCCAUCACCCAGCUCUACUCUACCUCUCUCUGUUCCAUCACCCAGCUCUACUCUACCUCUCUCUGUUCCAUCACCCAGCUCUACCCUGCCUCUCUCUGUUCCAUCACCCAGCUCUACUCUGCCUCUCUCUGUUCCAUCACCCAGCUUGCUCUACCUCUCUCUGUUCCAUCACCCAGCUCUACUCUACCCUGCCUCUCUCUGUUCCAUCACCCAGCUCUACUCUACCUCUCUCUGUUCCAUCACCCAGCUCUACUCUACUUCUCUCUGUUCCAUCACCCAGCUUGCUCUACCCUGCCUCUCUCUGCCUGCUGGGCACUGGCUCUGCAAACAACCCUCACACACGGGAGCACACACACUCAAACUGCUAGCCUCAAAAUCAUAGUCCUCAAUAAUACAUGA